UACGUAGGGUGCAAGCGUUGUCCGGAAUUAUUGGGCGUAAAGAGCUCGUAGGCGGUCUGUCGCGUCGGCUGUGAAAACCCGGGGCUCAACCCCGGGCCUGCAGUCGAUACGGGCAGACUAGAGUGUGGUAGGGGAGACUGGAAUUCCUGGUGUAGCGGUGAAAUGCGCAGAUAUCAGGAGGAACACCGGUGGCGAAGGCGGGUCUCUGGGCCAUAACUGACGCUGAGGAGCGAAAGCGUGGGGAGCAAACAGG
RNAcentral lists this ribosomal RNA (253 nucleotides) under uncultured bacterium. RNAcentral's name for it is "partial 16S ribosomal RNA". It matches the Rfam family "Bacterial small subunit ribosomal RNA", at positions 524 to 776 of the family's 1533-position model. The record is from RNAcentral.